GCCCCCGCUCAACGGACGAGGCCCCCCUGUCGAAAGGGGGGAUCGAGGGUUCAAGUCCCUCCGGGGGCG
RNAcentral lists this transfer RNA (69 nucleotides) under Chloroflexota bacterium. RNAcentral describes it as "Chloroflexi bacterium tRNA-Ser". The record is from RNAcentral. Lineage: Bacteria; Bacillati; Chloroflexota.